AGUCAACACUGAGCCAUACUCUGGCCACCGUCUGCUGGUUAAAGUAAAGUCAGUCAGUGUGUGAUCUUCAGCCAGACAAAGUGAUCGAGCAUCGUGCUCACCAAGAAUACCGAGUGUUUUAUGUGAAACGUCAAAAAAACAACCGAUCUCACUGUCUUAACAAAAAAUUUUAUCAAGGAUACUACGCCAAUUUUCUCCCAAAAAGGAUUUAAUUAAAGAGAGCACGCAAAGGUGAGGCAGACUGGGGCCUGGUGAAGGUGGGUGAUUACACAGAGAAGCGAAUUGGACAAAGAGAGAAAAUCCAUAAGAGAAUAACAUAAUGGAAACGUGGUUGGUGGAUGUGAAACAAUUACGAAUUCCGCGUCCAAAAUUUGGCACAUCUUCCGGAAGUCCUCCACAUCAUCGGAAUGUCCGACAGAUGCCGCGUGAACCCCCGCGAGACUAUCAUUUGGCCACCGCUGAGGACUUUGCCACACCAUCCAGUCCCGAGAGGCAAAUGAAACAACUUCAGAGUGAUACAGAGGAAAUCCGACAGGCUUUGCAGGAGAAACUGUAGGUUGGUCAGAAGAGAGGAGCACAUCUUCCCCAGAGGACAAAGUCGAAUCACAAAAAAAAACUUCUAUAUAAUAAUCACACUGUAAACUCCCAUGUGAGUUGGUUUUGUUGAAUUUGUUUAUCCUCUCUAUGUUAAUCUUACACUUUCAAUCUAGGUAUUGAUUGUCUGUUUUUUUUUAGGAUCCAAAGUCGUAAUGUAAAAUUUCCAUAUAACAAAGAAAAAUUGUAUGUAUAGUCAUCCAAUUUUAGUCAAAUGUAUGAAACAGAAAAGAAAAUGUAAAAUAUGCAAAUUUACUUAAAGUUGUCAGAAAAAUUUGUUCAAAACAAUAGCAAAUACAAACUUUCCAGAUGUUCAAACUUAUAAGAAUACUAAUACUUUGCAAAUAUAGUUUUUACUAUAUCAGGCAGCAACAAUUUAAAAAAAAUACCUCAGAAUAUUUGAAAAUUUUAAAAAUGGAAAUUAUUGAAAUUGUUUAAAACAAAUCAAAUUCAAGUGUUAAUAAAGUUAUUCUUAAUUUUGUGUUUUCCAAAAACUAAUAUAUAUGUUUGACUAAAUUUAUAUAUCUUGCUUAUAUAAAGUAUGAAAUUCUACUUAGCGUACCUAACAUAUACUUAAGAGAUAGAUAAACCCUUAGUGGAAACGUAUAGCUUAAAUUCUUGAACCAAAAUCGAAAUAUAUAAUCUGGAAAAUGUCAGUAUUUUGGUAUUUGAAAUCAAUGAAUAUUGAAGUAAGUUCAAUAACAAAAAUACUACAGAUUUAUCUCAAAUUAUAUUGUUUUUUUUAAUAUAUUUUUUAAGAUUAAUAUAACUAAAAUUUCGAUAAUUGUGACCCUUUAUUGUUAUUCUCAAUUCCGACACAAAAAUGACAAUUUUAUUAUAAAAAAUCACAAUUUAAAGAUCUAUUAUUCUGACGCGAUGUACAACUUAUAUUGCCUUAUUUUAGAAUCAAAGUUUAAGAUUUAUCCAUACAAAAAGAUCGCGUUUAACAAAAAUAUUGAUUUUCCAAAAUAGUUUAUAGAAGUGGAACUCAUAAAAAUUAAUACGAUUAAAAAAACGAUGAAGAGAAAAAUAAGCCAGUGACCCGCAAAAAAUAUUCAAAACCAAAUACAGCAAACUAAAUUAAGAUUCUAAUGCUAUUGAUAGAUUUGAAAUUUUCUUCUCAAAUUAAUAAAAUUAAAAUAGCAAGAUAUGUAAAAUAUUUUAAAACGUUCUUGAAUUUGAUCUUUAUCUUAGUCUCAGAAUUGACGUGAAUAUUAAAAUUAUUUCUUUUGCAAUUGCACUAAGCCAUCCCAAGGCUCUCAGACCGAUUAGAAGCAUGACCCUGAUAUACAACUAAUUUUUGCGGACUAAUUCUACCUUUAUAUUAACAAAUAAAUCAAACUCCAACCAUUAAGUGAUACAAAGAUAUAAAUCACACAUUUCAAAUGCUCAUUAGCAGAUUAAUGAGAAUUGCAUUAAAAUUUUAAUGAGCAAAUAUGAUAACAUCGUAAGUCGCAACCAUUGGUUUUCAAUGGAAAGAGUAAACUUUGUGAAUUUAAAGCAAAAUUACAUUAGCCGUUAAAUCGUUACUGUCAUCGCUAUAACCUCAGAAUUGUUCUCAAAUUAACGCAUUUUUAUUACAACUCAAAGACAUAUGAGCAAUUAUCAAGCUUGUUCGUUACAUUUAUUAUGAUAUUAGAUGCAAAUGAUAGUGAGUAAUAGGGCACUUUUUAAUUGGGACUGCUUUAAAAUUUGGAUUUUUCUCCUACUUUUAAAUAAAACUGAAUGUUUCCGUGAUAGUAUUUAGAUCCAUAAACCGCACGCCCAUGGCAAGUUGACUGAAAUUUGAAGCCACUUUCUCAUACUUCGUUUUAAAUUUAAAUGGGAUUUUUUUUAGCACUCGUGACCGUUACACUAAAUAACAAAAAAGUGAGAAGUUUUUCCGUAUUAUAAGAUACUUUUCCGUAUGGAGGGAUAAAUAUGCUAAAUUUUUGUUUAAAUAAAUUUUUUCCUCGGAGCACUGUGAGCUGAGUUCAAGAUCAAUUUAGAAAUUGGCUUCAAAUAGCUCCAUAUAAAAAAAAUAACUUGCCACAUGCUUGCAUAAACUAAUUGUGAAGCUAUAUUACAUUAUGACAAGCCUCAAUUCCUUUUAAAAAUAGGAGUAAAAGUCUAAUUUCGAAACUACUCCAAUUCAAAGGUACCCCACUUCCCCCUAUAAGAAAAUAGGAGAAAUAAGUUUAUCAUUAGAUUUUUUGUCUAUUCUAUUUUUAUUGCAUUUUGUAAAAACCGCUAAAUGGCUAAAUGAAUUAACAAUGAAUAUCCCAAAAAUUUCAAGAUAAGGAAAGGAUGAAUAUUAAUUGAACUAUUUACACUGCAAACAAACCGGUUCAAUUUGGUGAAAUUAGAUUUGCUGCUAAAUAAUUUCGGUUGCUGACUAAUUGAUUUAAAGCGCUGGAAUUUUUGUAACUGUCAGUCAUUUCGUGAGCCAACUCUGAGGUGAUUAUUUUCCGCUUGAAUAGACCUUCCAUAGACUUUUUUAAGCUUUUGGCUAAAUAGAUUUUGUACUUAUCACUAAAUCAAUUAACUUUUUCCUUUUGAAAUUCGUCUUAACAGACGCUGUCUGUAUAUUCUAUCUUUCACAUUAUGUCAAAUCGGAAUUCAGCCUUUGGGUUGCCAUAUGAUAUCAUCAGGCUUUGGCGGUGUUUUUCGAUAGAAAUAUUUUCUAUGUGAUUUCUAACAGUAAUUUGGAUUCUAAUAGCGCUGGCACACCUUUUCAAUUGAGUGAAAUUCAAUCGAUUGAAAUUUUACCUUUUACUCUUUCAAAGUAAAAUCAGAUAUAGGUGUCUCUUUCUGUCAAAAGAAAUUUAAAAUUGAAAUUGAAAUUGAAAUUUCAAUUUUUAUUUGAGAGAAAGAGACACAUAUAUCUUAUUUAGCUUUGAAAGAGUAAGAGGUAAAAUUUCAAUCGGUUGAAAUUCACCCAAUUGAAAAGGUGUGCCAGCGCCAUAAGUUUAGAUUUUGAUUUAAAAUAAAACUAAAUGUUCAUACUCGGUACCAAACGUCAAAAAGACAACCAUUAAGGGGGUUUCCCGAUUUUGAAACCCAAGACUUAGCUGUUUUUCGCGAUUUUUUUGAGGAGAAAGAAAUGACCAAGGUUUAUGAAAUUUUGGGUAUAUAGGGUAACGCGUAGUAUUUCGGGACACUUUUUAGCACAUUCAAAUUUCAAACAGCCUAAUGACUUCUCAAAUUAUUUUUCUCUUUGUUAAUACAAGUAUUUAUGUUCCUUAUUCUGUCCAGAAUAAGAUUCUUACUGAAAAAUGUUGAAAAAUGUAUCAUUUUUUAUUCAAAAUAGCAAAAAAUGUAAAGAAGUAAGAAUGGUAUAUUUCUGGGCAAUAGGGUAUUUCGGAACAGACAAAAGUAGCUAUUAUGGAAAUAAAUUUCACUGAACCUGAUUAUUUAUCUUUGAGUAGAAGGUCCAAACUUCUCUCUUUUAUAAAAAUUUUAUUUAAAUUUCACUUGUAAAGUGGGUUAAAUCGACAAAAACUCUGCACUGUUUGUGUUGUCAUCUGCAAAAUUGACGCACUAAAGAUUUCACAAAAUGUGGAAUGUGACACUCACAAUUCACGCGUAUUAUACGCUUUAAAAUAGAUAAAAUUUUAGAAGUUUUAUGUUUAACUAAUACGUAAAGAGUUUAAAAUUUCAUAUAGAACUUAAAAAUAAUAAGAAAACAAUUAUUUAUAGGAUUUUUGAUGUGUCCAGAAAUGCCCAUAUUAUGUCCCGAAAAGCACCUUGUCCAGAAACACCACACGUUACCCUAUUUAUACAUAUUAAAAGUGUCUAAAUAAUUUUUUUCAAAAAUAUAUUACAAAAUGAUGGAAUAAUGAGUAAUUUACUGGAACGCUUUGUCAGAAUUUCGUCACAGUACACCCUAAUUGGCGGAAAGUCUGCAGUUUAUAAAUUUUGUUUAAAAAAUUAAUUUUCAAAAUUCAUAAGUCUUUUUCAUAGUUAAACCAAAAGAAAACUGAAUGAAAUCAUGAAAUUGUACCUUUUUCGCAGGUUUAAAAAAAAAGGUUUUUCGGAUAAAAUUUUGACUUUAACAUGCUGUAAAAAAUAGAAAAAAGGUAUUUUCUGAAAUCAAUUAGGUUCAACUAAAAGAGUAUUUAAUUCUGAAGAUAAUAAGCCCUUAUGGAUUAUGCAUUUCAAUCGGUCCAAGUUUUUUUUUGCUAUCUUUCCCGCCAAUUCAACAAAAUCUUAAAAAUGAAAAGUGGGCAAAACGAACUUCAAAGUUUUGUGUGUUCGUUCAGGCGUUUGCAAAACUGCUACGUGCUCGUUUGCUUUCGGCUCUCUAUCUUCGAAAAUACUUGGAAUAGAGUUCUUAAAUUUUGGUGGUGUAUUCUUAGAUAGUUUAUCUAUCGAUUUAAGCAAUAAAAAAUAUCAAUUUCCUUUGACCUUGUAAUUCGGGAAAACCCCUUAAUAUUGGAUCAACCAAAAUUAGUGUCAAAAAUUAAAGAUUUAAAUUUAUUUUAAAGAUAAAAAGAUUCAAAUAAAGAUUUUUGUAGUAUUAUUUCUAUAAAAUGGAUAUUUUUAUGUUAAUAUUUAGUUUGAAAUUUCAUUAACGCGCUAUUAUUUUGACCCCCUACUAGAUUUAGAUUGGAGAUUUAGCCCAAUUUUCAGAAGUCUCGAAACCCUAAGUAACAAUUUCAGUGAUUUUUUUAAAUUAAACAUAGCAAUUGAUCCUAAUUACAAUCUUCAUUUUUCCGAAACAUUUUUUCCCGAGAACCUCGAUUAAAAAGAAACAAGAGAAGUUAAACGGUUAGGCUAUACCUUAAUGUUUGAAGCUCAUAUAAGGGUUUAACUUGAUCCAACUACAUUUCUAGAUUGAGAGUGUACUUUUUCCUAAGCCCAAUCUUUCCUGUAUUUUUUUAAUGUUAGACGUAAGGGAAUCUUUAAUACGACAAAGAACAUGAACGAAAGAAUAUCUCAGAUACUAAUUAAUUCAUCAUUGAAAAGAUCGUACAAGUUUUAAAUAUAUUUAUAAAUAUGUAAAAUAAUAUAAAAUAAAAUGAAGAAGAACAUAGAGUUCUUGUAUAUCUCUAUCUUA
Long non-coding RNA from Phlebotomus papatasi, 5632 nucleotides. RefSeq lists it as uncharacterized. The transcript is spliced from 2 exons. The record is from RefSeq and is a predicted model, not a curated record. Lineage: Eukaryota; Metazoa; Arthropoda; Insecta; Diptera; Psychodidae.